UAGUCCACGCUGUAAACGAUGGAUGCUAGAUGUCGGGGAGUACUCUUCGGUGUCGUAGUUAACGCGUUAAGCAUCCCGCCUGGGGAGUACGGUCGCAAGGCUGAAACUCAAAGAAAUUGACGGGGGCCCGCACAAGCGGUGGAGUAUGUGGUUUAAUUCGAUGCAACGCGAAGAACCUUACCUAGGUUUGACAUCCACGGAACCUCUCCGAAACGAGAGGGUGCCCUUCGGGGAGCCGUGAGACAGGUGCUGCAUGGCUGUCGUCAGCUCGUGUCGUGAGAUGUUGGGUUAAGUCCCGCAACGAGC
This 306-nucleotide ribosomal RNA is filed under the name uncultured delta proteobacterium. Its description in RNAcentral is "bacterial SSU rRNA". It matches the Rfam family "Bacterial small subunit ribosomal RNA", at positions 791 to 1097 of the family's 1533-position model. Lineage: Bacteria; Deltaproteobacteria. The record is from RNAcentral.